CACAGAGACGUGGGUUUNCACUUCGGGGACCGGAACACAGGUCGCUGCAUGUUUGUCGUCAGCUCGUGUCGUGAGAUGUUGGGUUAAGUCCCGGCAAAGAAGGGGCAACCCUUCGGCCCUUAGUUGCCAGCAUUUAGUUGGGCACUCUAAGGGGACUGCCGGUGAUAAGCCGAGAGGAAGGUGGGGAUGACGUCAAGUCCUCAUGGCCCUUACGGGCUGGGCUACACACGUGCUACAAUGGUGGUGACAGUGGGCAGCGAAGGAGCGAUCCCGAGCUAAUCUCCAAAAGCCAUCUCAGUUCGGAUUGCACUCUGCAACUCGAGUGCAUGAAGUUGGAAUCGCUAGUAAUCGCGGAUCAGCACGCCGCGGUGAAUACGUUCCCGGG
This 385-nucleotide ribosomal RNA is filed under the name Rhizobium sp. Nfb5R. Its description in RNAcentral is "bacterial SSU rRNA". It matches the Rfam family "Bacterial small subunit ribosomal RNA", at positions 999 to 1378 of the family's 1533-position model. Lineage: Bacteria; Pseudomonadati; Pseudomonadota; Alphaproteobacteria; Hyphomicrobiales; Rhizobiaceae. The record is from RNAcentral.